GGUGUCCUACGGGGCGCAGCAGUGGGGAAUAUUGCACAAUGGGGGAAACCCUGAUGCAGCAACGCCGCGUGAAGGAAGACGGUUUUCGGAUUGUAAGCUUCUUUUCUUAGUGAAGAAGCAAGUGACGGUAGCUAAGGAAUAAGCAUCGGCUAACUACGUGCCAGCAGCCGCGGUAAUACGUAGGAUGCGAGCGUUAUCCGGAAUUACUGGGGGUAAAGGGAGCGCAGGCGGGACUGCAAGUUGGUUGUGAAAUACCGCAGCUUAACUGCGGAGCUG
This 276-nucleotide ribosomal RNA is filed under the name uncultured bacterium. Its description in RNAcentral is "partial 16S ribosomal RNA". It matches the Rfam family "Bacterial small subunit ribosomal RNA", at positions 333 to 623 of the family's 1533-position model. The record is from RNAcentral.